Molecule: small nuclear RNA, 330 nt
Filed under: Microtus ochrogaster (prairie vole)
Lineage: Eukaryota; Metazoa; Chordata; Mammalia; Rodentia; Cricetidae
Description: 7SK RNA (ENSMOCG00000010195.1)
Rfam family: 7SK RNA
About the family: 7SK was discovered as an abundant small nuclear RNA in the mid-70s but a possible function has only recently been suggested.
Source: RNAcentral
GAAUGCAAGGACAGUCUGGCUGUGACUUCUGUCACUCCAUUGAUCACCAGGGGUGAUAGGAAUGAGCUGGCUGGGUGAGUGGGUGUUCCAUCUCUCCCUCACCACUCCUGUGCGUCCCUUGUAAAACUGUGCCCUCGAUCAGCAGACGAGGACAUUCUUCUCUGAACUGACGAGGACUGGUCUUUGGUCAAAGGUCUGCGAGUAGCUGUGUCUCCUGCUAGACCCUCCAAACAAGCUCUCAGAGUCAUUUUCUGUAAAACGCCUUACGGGCAGAGAUCCCUGUUGGUAGCAUCUUCAGCGACAGGGUUCUGAAGCCUGGGGCCAUAGGAA